UGAGCCAUCGCACCCGGCAUGGUCUUUAAAGCUCCAAUGAAAAAUCAUUUUUCUCUCUUACUUAGAAUGGUACCAAACCACCACUGGAUGCAGAUGUAAAUUUGGAAGCAAUUGCUGGUGACCUUCGCUGUGAUUGCUAUACGGGCGCAGAUCUCUCUGCUUUGGUACGAGAAGCUUCUAUCUGUGCCCUGAGACAGGAAAUGGCAAGACAGAAGAGUGGAAAUGAAAAAGGUGAACUCAAGGUUAGUCAUAAGCAUUUUGAAGAAGCUUUCAAGAAAGUAAGAUCAUCUAUAUCAAAAAAGGAUCAAAUCAUGUAUGAACGUUUGCAGGAGUCCCUCAGCCGGUGAUGUCUCCAGCAGCCGGCUUAGAGGAGCUAGCCCAUCAAGCCGGCAGAGAAUCCCCCACACGCUCUGAAGGACCCACUUUCAGCUGGACACAGGCGCGGCCUCAUGUAAACAUUUUAUUUUCAAAUGAAUGAGGCCAAGCUGAAGCUGAAGCUGAAGAUUCUUCCCAUCUGGCCAGCCUUGUGUGAAAAUGCCUUCUUCCUCUUUAAGAAAAAGGACAAUUUUUAAACUGCUGAAAUAAAAUGACUGUUACAUUUUUCAAAUAAAACUUUUACUUUGAACUAUUUUGACUAUA
This 639-nucleotide long non-coding RNA is filed under the name Homo sapiens (human). Its description in RNAcentral is "non-protein coding lnc-NVL-4:1". The record is from RNAcentral. Lineage: Eukaryota; Metazoa; Chordata; Mammalia; Primates; Hominidae.